Molecule: ribosomal RNA, 845 nt
Filed under: uncultured marine group I thaumarchaeote
Lineage: Archaea; Thermoproteati; Nitrososphaerota
Description: SSU rRNA
Rfam family: Archaeal small subunit ribosomal RNA
Source: RNAcentral
CCCGCCGGACCUGACUGCUAUCGGAUUGAUACUAAGCCAUGCGAGUCUUUGUAGUAAUACAAGGCAGACGGCUCAGUAACACGUAGUCAACCUACCCUAUGGACAAGAAUAAUCUCGGGAAACUGGGCAUAAUUCUUGAUAGAUCAUAAUGCCUGGAAUGGUUUAUGGUUAAAAUGAUUCGUCGCCAUAGGAUGGGACUGCGGCCUAUCAGCUUGUUGGUGAGGUAAUGGCCCACCAAGGCGAUUACAGGUACGGGCUCUGAGAGGAGAAGCCCGGAGAUGGGUACUGAGACACGGACCCAGGCCCUAUGGGGCGCAGCAGGCGAGAAAACUUUGCAAUGUGCGAAAGCACGACAAGGUUAAUCCGAGUGAUUUCUGCUAAAGAAAUCUUUUGCCAGUCAUAAAACCACUGGUGAAUAAGGGGUGGGCAAGUUCUGGUGUCAGCCGCCGCGGUAAAACCAGCACCUCAAGUGGUCAGGAUGAUUAUUGGGCCUAAAGCAUCCGUAGCCUGCUUUGUAAGUUUUCGGUUAAAUCCAUGUGCUCAACGCAUGGGCUGCCGAAAAUACUGCAUAGCUAGGGAGUGGGAGAGGUAGACGGUACUCAGUAGGUAGGGGUAAAAUCCUUUGAUCUAUUGAUGACCACCUGUGGCGAAGGCGGUCUACCAGAACACGUUCGACGGUGAGGGAUGAAAGCUGGGGGAGCAAACCGGAUUAGAUACCCGGGUAGUCCCAGCUGUAAACGAUGCAGACUAGAUGAUGCAUUGGCAUAAUAGCCAUUGCAGUGUCUCAGGGAAGCCGUUAAGUCUGCCGCCUGGGAAGUACGUACGCAAGUAUGAAACUUAAAGGA